Molecule: long non-coding RNA, 1622 nt
Organism: Lolium rigidum
Lineage: Eukaryota; Viridiplantae; Streptophyta; Magnoliopsida; Poales; Poaceae
Exons: 4
Source: RefSeq, a predicted model, not a curated record
UCCCCCAUCUCUUCCUUCCACAUCCUGAAACCUAUUGAUGCGAUACAGCAGAUCUUGUAAGCAAUUUUUUUAGUUUACUGUGGACUGUUCUUGAUGCCUCUAGAUGCAGUUCUAGCAAUUGAGAUGUCUAGCAGACAAGAAAUAACUUGAGGCCAUAUAAAUUGUUAGAAGUACUAGUUAUAUCUCACAUGUAUUGCAGACAAGAAAUUGGUUUGGUGUUACUAUUGCUUUUGCUCUGCAAACCAAACUAGCUGAUGAUGAUAAUGUAGUUUUAUCUGCAUACAUAGCACUGAAGAAUUUCUGAAAAGAAUCUCAUAGUAAAAAAACAAAAAACUAAUUCUGCACUAGAAUUUACUGAUUCUCAAAGACCAUGUCUCUACUCGUUUCAGAUGAAAACUAAACUCAUUGAUUUAUGAAAGAAAAUCACUUUAUUGAUACACCAGUUGCUCUAUUAACUGUAUGCAAACUCAUGGUGUAUGAAGAGCUCAUAAACAAUUGUUUUUCUUCAAGGUAAGCUGCAGCAUGGAUACAUUCUUUUGCCACCACAUAUAAGAGAACAAGUUAAUAGUUUGAGAAGAUAGAUCAUCGAGUUCUUAUUAUAAAAGAGAACGCAAAGGUUAUUGGAGGUGACUUCUCGCAAUGGAGGUCCACAACUUAUGGAUAAGAUGUGCAACAUGACUUUCAUCAAUUUUGGCCAGUCCUAAUUGACAUGUUCUGAUGAGUGGAUGAGGUUGAGAUUCGUUUUUCAGAUACGUGCUGUCCAACCUGCCGUCAGGCAUCGUUGUCCAUGUCAAGGAGGCAAGGUUCUACCUGCACAAGUUCCCUCUGCAUUCCAAGAGCAACAUGCCGCAGCAGCUGAUAAUUGAGGCGAGCCAGAAUGGCGCCGACGAGAUCUACCAGACGAGGCUGAAGCUGUCCGUGAGGUGUGUCGACUCCAUCGCCGCCAAGACGAUGGCGAGCCCGGGGACUGUGGUGUGGUCGUACACCGACAAUUGCAAGUCGGACGAGAUCGUUGAGGCUCACCGUUGCUCGUCAUCGUCACAGGCGGUCCUGAGGAACUGGUAGAUGGAGGACCUGCGCGAGCUGGACGUGGAGCUUACAGAGCGUGUCAUGGUGGCUGUGAAGUCCAGGGCGAGGGUGCGCCCCUCGGUGUCCUCAGGGAAGCUCUCAGGCGUCACAAGCAGUCCUGGGGGACUGGUAGAUGGAGGACCUGCGCGAGCUGGACGUGGAGCUUACAGGCGUGUCAUGGUGGCUGUGAAGUCCAGGGCGAGGGUGCGCCCCUCGUGUCCUCAGGGAAACUCUCAGGCUUACCCUGCCAGGUGGCUCCUAGUGAGUUACUUAAGUGUCUGAGAAAUAUAGAAAAUUCGAAAUUGUUUGUUGCCUUAUUUCUGUUUAGUUGCUUUUCUACCAAAUUUCCCCAAUGUUCCGAUUCUGGGAGCCUUGGACUUGCUCCCCUCCCAGGAGAGGAUCCCUAUGCACUGAAAAUUGCCCUGUGGGCUUAAAACCUUAAAUACGUCCCCAAUGCAACCAAAUUAGCUCUAAAAGGUAACAUACAUCAAGUGCACAUGGGUGCCAGAGCAUACUCUGAGGGAAGUGGGACGGAAAGGAAAAAUGGAAUUAUC